AUCAGCCUUUCGGGUGCGAUUCUGUGGGGUUUGAGGAGCUUAACACCUUCAUGCUUUGCAUAUUCGUGCUCUUGGGUGUACUUGCCCGUGUGGUUGGUUAACAUCAAUUUUGGUGGUCAUAAAAUGACUGGGGGAAUGUAGCUUCGAUCUUGUAUUGAAGUGUUAUAGCCUUCGGUAGAUGUGAUGAUCGAGAUUGAGGAUUGCAACGGAUACCCUUCGGGGCUACCUGUCUGAUCUCUGAUCGUUGUUCUGGUGCCGAAAGCUUGCUUACGGUUAUCAAAGUCGAUGGUCAAUAGGUUAGAACGGGUUAAAUUCGUUAAGGAUGUUGACGUAAUGGCUUU
RNAcentral lists this ribosomal RNA (341 nucleotides) under uncultured Glomeromycotina. Its description in RNAcentral is "eukaryotic LSU rRNA". Lineage: Eukaryota; Fungi; Glomeromycota. The record is from RNAcentral.